UAGCGGCGAGCGAACGGGGAGCAGCCCAGAGCCUGAAUCAGUGUGUGUGUUAGUGGAAGCGUCUGGAAAGGCGCGCGAUACAGGGUGACAGCCCCGUACACAAAAAUGCACAUGCUGUGAGCUCGAUGAGUAGGGCGGGACACGUGGUAUCCUGUCUGAAUAUGGGGGGACCAUCCUCCAAGGCUAAAUACUCCUGACUGACCGAUAGUGAACCAGUACCGUGAGGGAAAGGCGAAAAGAACCCCGGCGAGGGGAGUGAAAAAGAACCUGAAACCGUGUACGUACAAGCAGUGGGAGCACGCUUAGGCGUGUGACUGCGUACCUUUUGUAUAAUGGGUCAGCGACUUAUAUUCUGUAGCAAGGUUAACCGAAUAGGGGAGCCGAAGGGAAACCGAGUCUUAACUGGGCGUUAAGUUGCAGGGUAUAGACCCGAAACCCGGUGAUCUAGCCAUGGGCAGGUUGAAGGUUGGGUAACACUAACUGGAGGACCGAACCGACUAAUGUUGAAAAAUUAGCGGAUGACUUGUGGCUGGGGGUGAAAGGCCAAUCAAACCGGGAGAUAGCUGGUUCUCCCCGAAAGCUAUUUAGGUAGCGCCUCGUGAAUUCAUCUCCGGGGGUAGAGCACUGUUUCGGCAAGGGGGUCAUCCCGACUUACCAACCCGAUGCAAACUGCGAAUACCGGAGAAUGUUAUCACGGGAGACACACGGCGGGUGCUAACGUCCGUCGUGAAGAGGGAAACAACCCAGACCGCCAGCUAAGGUCCCAAAGUCAUGGUUAAGUGGGAAACGAUGUGGGAAGGCCCAGACAGCCAGGAUGUUGGCUUAGAAGCAGCCAUCAUUUAAAGAAAGCGUAAUAGCUC
This 860-nucleotide ribosomal RNA is filed under the name Escherichia coli. Its description in RNAcentral is "bacterial LSU rRNA". It matches the Rfam family "Bacterial large subunit ribosomal RNA", at positions 244 to 1143 of the family's 2925-position model. The record is from RNAcentral. Lineage: Bacteria; Pseudomonadati; Pseudomonadota; Gammaproteobacteria; Enterobacterales; Enterobacteriaceae.